This 425-nucleotide ribosomal RNA is filed under the name uncultured prokaryote. Its description in RNAcentral is "bacterial SSU rRNA". It matches the Rfam family "Bacterial small subunit ribosomal RNA", at positions 355 to 774 of the family's 1533-position model. The record is from RNAcentral.
UGGGGAAUCAUGGUCAAUGGGCGAAAGCCUGAACCUGCGACGCCGCGUGAGUGAUGAAGGUCGUAAGAUCGUAAAGCUCUUUUCAGGGAUCUUAAAGCCUGUCUGUCAACAACAGGCAGGUCUGACUCUCCCUGGAAGAAGCCCCAGCCAACUACGUGCCAGCAGCUGCGGUAAUACGUAGGGGGCGAGCGUUAUUCGGAAUUACUGGGUGUAAAGGGUAUGUAGGCGGCCCUUCAAGUCGCGUGUCAAAGUCCAGUGCUCAACGCUGGGUGUGCACGCGAUACUGACGGGCUGGAGGGCUGGAGAGGUGAGCGGUAUUCCCGGUGUAGUGGUAAAAUACGUAGAGAUCGGGAGGAACACCAGCGGCGCAGGCGGCUCACUAGACAGUUUCUGACGCUAAGAUACGAAAGCGUGGGGAGCAAACA